RNAcentral lists this ribosomal RNA (409 nucleotides) under uncultured bacterium. Its description in RNAcentral is "bacterial SSU rRNA". It matches the Rfam family "Bacterial small subunit ribosomal RNA", at positions 505 to 916 of the family's 1533-position model. The record is from RNAcentral.
GUGUCAGCCGCCGCGGUAAUACGGAGGAUCCGAGCGUUAUCCGGAUUUAUUGGGUUUAAAGGGUGCGCAGGCGGGAUGUUAAGUCGGCGGUGAAAUUUUGCAGCUCAACUGUAAAAGUGCCUUCGAUACUGGCUUCCUUGAGUGUGGAUGAAGUAGGCGGAAUUUGUGGUGUAGCGGUGAAAUGCUUAGAUAUCACGAGGAACUCCGAUUGCGCAGGCAGCUUACUAAACCACUACUGACGCUCAUGCACGAAGGCGUGGGGAUCAAACAGGAUUAGAUACCCUGGUAGUCCACGCAGUAAACGAUGAUUACUAGUUGUUUGCGAUACAAUGUAAGCGACUGAGCGAAAGCGUUAAGUAAUCCACCUGGGGAGUACGUUCGCAAGAAUGAAACUCAAAGGAAUUGGCGG